RNAcentral lists this ribosomal RNA (373 nucleotides) under uncultured organism. RNAcentral's name for it is "bacterial SSU rRNA". It matches the Rfam family "Bacterial small subunit ribosomal RNA", at positions 526 to 896 of the family's 1533-position model. The record is from RNAcentral.
CGGGGGGAGCAAGCGUUGUUCGGAUUUACUGGGCGUAAAGGGCGCGUAGGCGGCGCAACAAGUCACUUGUGAAAUCUCCGGGCUUAACCCGGAGCGGCCAAGUGAUACUGUCGUGCUAGAGUGCGGAAGGGGCUACUGGAAUUCUCGGUGUAGCGGUGAAGUGCGUAGAUAUCGAGAGGAACACCUGCGGCGAAGGCGGGUAGCUGGGCCGACACUGACGCUGAGGCGCGAAAGCCAGGGGAGCGAACGGGAUUAGAUACCCCGGUAGUCCUGGCCUUAAACGAUGGAUGCUUGGUGUCCGGGGUUACAUAGUCCCCGGGUGCCGGCGCUAACGCAUUAAGCAUCCCGCCUGGGGAGUACGGUCGCAAGACUG